Molecule: ribosomal RNA, 406 nt
Filed under: uncultured bacterium
Lineage: Bacteria
Description: partial 16S ribosomal RNA
Rfam family: Bacterial small subunit ribosomal RNA
Source: RNAcentral
AUUGAACGCUGGCGGCAGGCCUAACACAUGCAAGUCGAGCGAGCGGCGGACGGGUGAGUAAUGUCUGGGAAACUGCCUGAUGGAGGGGGAUAACUCCUGGAAACGGUAGCUAAUACCGCAUACCAUCAGAUGUGCCCAGAUGGGAUGAGCUGGUAGUUGCGGUAACGGCUCACCUAGGCGACGAUCCCUAGCUGGUCUGAUAGGCUGACCAGCCACACUGCAACUGAGCCACGGUCCAUACUCCUAAGCGAGGCAGCAGUGGGGAAUAUUGCACAAUGGGCGCAAGCCUGAUGCAGCCAUGCCGCGUGUGUGAAGAAGGCCCUCGGGUUGUAAAGCACUUUCAGCGGGGAGGCGUUACCCGCAGAAGAAGCACCGGCUAACUCCGUGCGAGCCGCCGCGGUAAUAC